GCGUACAUAGGUGCAAGUGGCCUCGGUAGUACGGAGUGCUCUAGCGUUGUCCGGAUUGAUUUGGCGUAAAGCGAGCGCAGUUGGUUAAAUAAGUCUGAAGGAAAAGGCAGUGGCUCAACCAUUGUAUGCUUUGGAAACUGUGUAACUGGAGUGCAGAAGGGGAGAGUGGAAUUCCAUGUGUAGCGGUGAAAUGCGUAGAUAUAUGGAGGAACACCGGUGGCGAAAGCGGCUCUCUGGUCUGUAACUGACACUGAGGCUCGAAAGCGUGGGUAGCAAACAGGAUUAGAUACCCGGGUAGUC
Molecule: ribosomal RNA, 300 nt
Filed under: uncultured Desulfurococcus sp.
Lineage: Archaea; Thermoproteati; Thermoproteota; Thermoprotei; Desulfurococcales; Desulfurococcaceae
Description: bacterial SSU rRNA
Rfam family: Bacterial small subunit ribosomal RNA
Source: RNAcentral